Anarrhichthys ocellatus (wolf-eel) is the source of this 1579-nucleotide long non-coding RNA. RefSeq lists it as uncharacterized. The record is from RefSeq and is a predicted model, not a curated record. The transcript is spliced from 2 exons. Lineage: Eukaryota; Metazoa; Chordata; Actinopteri; Perciformes; Anarhichadidae.
CCAUGGCAUUUCCCUUAUAUACAUGUUUUAUUUCUUAUUUAUUUCUUAUUUAUUUAUUUACUUUAUUUACUCAUUUAUUUUUAUAUAUUUAUAUAUUUAUCCUUCACGUGUGGUUUUAAUAUAUUAUGCAUGCUUUUAUCCUAAAUUAUUGACUAUCUGUUAUUUAUAAUUAUAUUUCUCUUGUCUUUUAAUUUAAUUAAUCUAUUUUAACUCUUGCCAUGGUGGAGACAUACCCUCCGGAUGAGGUCCUCCCACCCUACAGGCAGACGAGGCCCAUUUUGGACUCCCAACCUUUCCUUUAAACCCCCCCACCCCCUUUUUUUCUCCUCCUUUUAACUCCCCGAUGGGACUGCGGGUUGCUGAUCAGUGUUUGCUUGCAUUACCUCACCCUCUUAGUCUUCCCGUCACCUCAAUUGUCCUUAGUUUAAGCUUCAUAUCCACGUCACAUGUACCUAAUUCAAAUUGGGAGCCUUUUGUUGGAUCAACGUAUUGAUAUAUUUUUUCACAAACAUGUUAAUUGUUUGAUUUAAAUAUUUCUAAAAUGGCAGUCAUGAAUCCUACCUGGACUUCCACUAGGGAGUAUUCCUAUGUAUCAUGUUCAACAGUAAUACAUUGACCAGUCAGAAAGCACUGAUUUAUUGAGGACUACUGUGAAAAGGUGAGGUGAAAUUCUAUUAUUCCUGGAUUCUUUGGAUUGCAACGUAUCUAUGAGUCUUAGCCUCACUUAUUAUCUACCUAGAUUUUCCACUUUUUUUUCCAAAACUCUGUUUAUUGACUUUUGUUAAUUUUCAGAAAACAGAUCACAAAACAUCCAGUGACACCACAUUCUGGUUAAAAUGGGAAAUGUAACUAGUAGGCCUAUGAUGUACAGUAACAGUUAUCUAGCAUAUAAACAAUAUGGGUUUGAGCAACCAAACGGCUCAUGAGAAAUCAGAAACUUCUAUCAAAAAUAAACCAAGCUUUGAAAAUUGUCUUUGAAAACAAUGACAUAUGUGGUAAGCCUGUGACAUGAAAAGUGGCACCGCACAAAACCUGGAUUCGCCCCUGGUAAUAUGGCCUUGGAGGGGGCUGCCACCCUUUUAGACACGCCCCUGCCAGUAGCCUAUCCUGUCAAUUCAGCACAUCAAUAACAUGACUGCUAACAUUUUUGACCCUAUAUAAUAACUAUUUAGCUUCCAUUUUCGGUAAAAUAUGUCAAAAUAAAGUUAAAACCUGAUGGGUUACAUCCGGAACUAAAGAGCCCGCCUGUUUGUUUUCGCCCGGACAGUGUCAGAGUCGAACUAAACACCUCAGUCGAAGCAUGAGUGAAAGAUGCUUCAUGACUUAACGUUCUGAACUGCCUCUGCCUCAGUGUCCACACGUUUUUUCUUUUGUAUCGAGCUCGGUUUCCUGAGUUGUUGUAGUCAGUUGUUUUUUACUCAGUCAGUGCGUCACGUGUUGAACGCAGCGAGCAACCAAAGCAGCAGAGUUACCCUGGAGAGCUCAAACAAGUGGCAGGCUAACGAGUCAUGCUCCUGGUGGACCCCGGUUUGUACAUCGGCACUGCGGCCGACCUGAAUGACAGCCAGGCAUUGUCCGA